CUCCUCGUAGCAUAAUGGAUCGUGCACGCGCCUCCUAAGCGUGAGAUACAGGUUCGAUUCCUGUCGAGGAGGCCA
This 75-nucleotide transfer RNA is filed under the name Accumulibacter sp. Its description in RNAcentral is "tRNA-Arg". It matches the Rfam family "tRNA". From Rfam's summary of the family: Transfer RNA (tRNA) molecules are approximately 80 nucleotides in length. Their secondary structure includes four short double-helical elements and three loops (D, anti-codon, and T loops). The record is from RNAcentral. Lineage: Bacteria; Pseudomonadati; Pseudomonadota; Betaproteobacteria.